RNAcentral lists this non-coding RNA (28 nucleotides) under Mus musculus (house mouse). The record is from RNAcentral. Lineage: Eukaryota; Metazoa; Chordata; Mammalia; Rodentia; Muridae.
UGACCUGGUGUAAUGUGGGACGCCCGAC